AGACUGCAUGGCUUAAUCUUUGAGACAAGCAUAUGACUACUGGCAGAAUCAACCAGAUAUCUCACCUGCCGCCGCCCCCGGGGCACCCGGCUGGGGUGCCCGCGGAUCUGGCGUCGGGCGGGCAGCACGGCUGGCCGCGCCCGAGAAGUGAUCAAAUCGAGGUCGGGGCCCAACGCGCGAGGCAUACGGGCCCGCCCGAAUCUCUGCGAGGCGGCGUACCGCUCGAAAGAACCGGGCAUUCGAUUGCCCCCACUGCAGUUUUCCCUCCAUCCUCCGCGCGCAGGCUUUGGCGGCCAAAGACACGUCGUGCCCGGCCCCUGCGGCAUUGGGGGAGCGGAAGGAGGGAAUCGACGCCCGAACACGCCGACGCCGCUAAAGCGUCGGCGGAUAUCGAGGUCGACCUCCCCCCCGGAAGUUAGGGAUGUCAGCGCUGGCCAGCGGCCAACAAUCGACAAGCCCCAUCGAAACCUAUCGUACGAGAACGUUAGGCAUUCGGGCAACCCUCAGCCGAGCCAUGAGGCCGCCGAGGGCCGCAGAACCGCCCCGAACGUCGAAAGCCCAACCCAGGGCU
This 571-nucleotide ribosomal RNA is filed under the name Trichophyton tonsurans. RNAcentral describes it as "partial 25S ribosomal RNA". The record is from RNAcentral. Lineage: Eukaryota; Fungi; Ascomycota; Eurotiomycetes; Onygenales; Arthrodermataceae.